This 3460-nucleotide long non-coding RNA is filed under the name Amborella trichopoda. RNAcentral's name for it is "long non-coding RNA (ATRI_LNC003394)". Lineage: Eukaryota; Viridiplantae; Streptophyta; Magnoliopsida; Amborellales; Amborellaceae. The record is from RNAcentral.
GGAUGCAAUGCCAAAAGGUGUGCUGAAAACAAUAAUAAAUGCAUCAUCACCAUCUCUGAUUACACCACCACUUCCUGGGAGCCCUAAAUUCUGUAGAAAAAAAAGUUAUUUCAUAGGGUUACUAUUCUUUUUACUUACUCUUACCGAUUAUUUUGAUAUAUUUUUUGGGAAUAUAUUGCUUGUAUUUUUUCGUACAAAUUUUCUAAGGGAACUUAUUGGUGAAAUUUUUGAUGAUUUUUUUUGUUAAAUCAAGAUUUUUAAUCUACUCACAAUGUUAAUGUGCAUAUAUUUAAACCAAAUUCACUAAUAUUAAGUUUAUAAAAAAAUAAAGUUAUAAGGAAGAAAUUUUUUGAAAAGUUUUUUUAAAGAAAGAUGAAAUACAAAUUUAUAUAAGUACCAUUAAAAAAACCCUAUUUCUUGAAGAUCUCUUAAAAACUCGGAGUUUUUUGACGGAUUUAAAAAAAUCAAAGAUUUUUUUUUAAAAUUAUAUUUUAUUUUAAAGAGAGACUUGUUAACUAUGCUCUAGAUACAUCUUCGCUUGAGAUUCAAGGUUUUACAACUCAAAAAGUAAUACGAAUCUAAAGAUCUAUGGAGAACAAAAUGAACGUUAAUAAUCAAUAAAAAAUAAAACUUUAAAAAAUUAUUUUUAAACUCCAAAAUCCAUUUUACUCAUGUACACAAUUAUGGUUAUGUUCCUCUAAAAUUUUAGGUCUAAGAAAGAUAUUUGAAGAAUUGGAUAAAAAAAAAUUAAAAAAAUGAUAAGAAGACUGUGUUUUAAGAGGUGCAUAUAUGACACAUCAAAGCCCCGGCCUAUAAAAAUCGACCACGUGGUUCGACCGUUACUGUAAGAACAAACGGAGUAGGAGGAGAGAUGGAGCAUGUUCCCACGAGGGAUCCGUGAAAGAGAUUAAGCAAAAACGGGAGGACGCUAUCUUUCAGCUCUGAAUUUAUAUAUUGAGAGUUUGAAGCCAUUUGACUUCAAAAAAGAAAAGAAAAGAAAAGAAAAGGAGAGUGUAGACGUCAGACUUUUAACGGCAUUGUCGAAAUGCCUUCAAAUAUUGAAUAUCCAAAAUUUGAAGUCGUUUCGAUUAAAUUUGAUUUUAGAUCACGAAAGUUCCCCAAUAUAAUAGAAAUUUAUUCAAAACAUUGAUCCCAUGUCAUUGUGAUUACCAACAUUUGAAAACCCAACUAUCCAGAUCAGUAAUCGGCCGAUACUGAAGUAACUAUGGGAAGGUAUCGAUACCAGCCAAGUCCCCUCCUAAAACCCCCUUAUUUCAUAGUUAUUUUUGUGAGCCAUCUAAUGUUUUCUUAGAUCCUAUUAAUUAUUUUAAUAUUUUAUUUUAAAAUAUUUUUUUGGACCACAGAUCGGGUGAUCCGGUUGUUUGACACAUAUUUUUUAGGUGGGCAAUGCACCUCACUAAUCCGGGUUUUGAAACACUCUUCGAGCCUUUUGAAGUGGGGGCAUUUUAGGGGAAAAAAAAGAAAAAAAAAGUUAUUGAUGUAAAAUAAAACCUCUCGAUUUUUUUCAUUACUUCAGAAAGUGAGCAAAAAUUUCUCUCAUCUUAGUAGCAUCUUUAGGAGAGUAUUUGUCAAGUUAGUCACGUGAAUACUAAUUUUUAAGGAUAAAAUGUUAUUUUAGGGGUUGAAAUCCCUUUAAUGAAAUCAUUAAUCGGGUCCAAUUCUUUCUAUUACCAUUUGAAGGAUUGCUUUUUCUUAUUUUUAGUGAUUCUUAAUAAUGAUCGCCUUGUUUGUAAUACAAAAUAACUAGGGGAUUUUUGUAAUUCGGUUGGGGCUUUUGAGGGUCAAAUUACUGCGACACUCCUUAUUAUUCCUUAUUUCUAAUACAAAACAAAGGCAAUUAGAGACUUCUAAAAUUUGUUUGGAGGAGGUACCAAAGUGAGGAAAAAAAAAAAGCAAUCCCCAAAUGUUAAUAUCGAUAAUCUGGCGCUAUCUUAAGGGGUUUUGACCUCUUAAAUGAUAUUUUCCCAUGUUUUAAAAAUAGUUGAGUCAGCUUCAAAGGUUUACUUGUAUGAGUAUGAGACCCCUUGAUUCCAAUUCAUAACAUUUAUUUGAUUUUUAAGUUUUUGUAGUAAAACAAUCUAAAACAACAAGUUGACCGGAUGAGAUGACUCAAAGCUAGGUUGGAAUCAAUUUUUUUUUUUUUUUGAGAAUCAAUUGGUGAUUGGUUUGACGUAUCGAUUCAAUUUUCAAGACAUCGACAACAAUUACCGAGCAAGAAUAAUGUUUUAAAACAUGGAUUGGUGGGGCAAUUGUUCACCUACAAAUUCAUGUCGAAUUGUUGAUUCGGUGAUCCAGAUCAAGUAUAGAUUGUUCUGAAUCAAUGAUCAAAAGAAUAUUUAAAUAUAUAUAUAUAUAUAUAUAUAUAUAUUUAAAUAUAUAUAUAUAAAAGAAAUAACAGUUUACCUUGUAGAAAUUUACAAGAACCUUAAAAAAGUACUAGAUAAGAUAAAAAAAAGGAUGCAAUUUGUACAGAGCCGAGGCAUUAAACAAUCAAAAUAAAACGUAUCUUUAAAUAGUAUCGAGAAAUGUGGUUUUAAUAUUGGAAAUUUUUGUGAUAGUUUUAAAAUAUAUUUUCAUCUUUAAUUAUAAAAUUUAAAGCUUAAAAAAUAAUAUAGAUCGAACAUAUAUAUGAAACUUGAAAAUUUUGAAAAUUAACAGUAAAAAAAAUACGAUGCACUAUUUUCAAAACUUGAAAUCCAUUUUUUGAAAUCCAUAUUUUUUUCGGAUUAUUGCAUCUUGAUGUUGAGAUGAUCAAUUUAAAAAUAUUUGAGCAUUAAAAUAUCACCAAAAUUUUGACGUAUGCUUGAUCGUUUAGAGCCUCAACCCUAUAUAAAUUUUUUUUAAAAUAAUAAUAAUAAUAAUAAAUGCCCUCCCCGAAUCGCUUCGAUCUCCAUCGAUUUCUAUCCAAAAUUCCAAAGCAUGAAAAUUGCUGGGAUUUAAAAAACUGAGCAGGGUAUUGAAACCUGUCCACCUACGAACGCAGGUUCAGAUGAUUGAUUCCGUGCACAUGUGCGGACACGACGCUAGUCAUGUGGCGCUCGUGCCAAACAUCCGCCAUCCAUCAACGUCUCUCCCAACACACUUCCCAACAUCACAUCACUGUAACUCUUUCUCUCUCCUCCCCCUUCUCUCUCGCCAUUGCUUCUCUAUCUCUCUCCUCCCAUCUCUCUCUCUCGCCAUCGCUUCUCUUUCUCUCUCCUCCCCCCUUCUUUCUCUCUCUCUGUCGCCAUUGCUUCAAGUUCAAAUCAAUGUGAGCCUUCCACAGUGACACUUGCUGCCCUCUCUCUUUCUCUAAGUUCCGAGUCUCCUGAGUCUGGCUCUCUCUCUCUCUCUACUCAUUCCUGCUCUCGAGUAUCUUGACUCUGAUCCCCUCUCGCCAUUUUCUCUCUCCUCCAAGUUUUCCACAUUCUCUCUCUCUCCUCAAAAUCCCACCUCGCGC